CAACCACUGAGCCACAUCCCCAGCCUUAUUUUCUACUUUAUUUUAGAGACAGGGUCUCACUGAGUUGCUUAGCACCAUUGCUGAGGCUGGCUUUGAACUCAUGAUCCUCCUGUCUCAGCCUCCUGAGCUGCUGGGAUUAUCGGCAUUCGCCACCGUGCCUGGCUCAAAACAAUAUUUUUCCUUUCACCAUCCCACUUCCACCAGAUGUUUUACAGGAUAAACAUUUUUCUUUUUACCUUUAAGAUUGGACUGAAAAGUAAAGAGCCUUACAGAAAACUUCAACCAACACGUGGAGUCCAUGGUCAAGUAUCCCCGCAGCUCUGAGUUUAGAAGGCAAGACCCAGGCCAGGGGCGCCUGGGCUGAUAGGGCGUCUGCCUGUGUGUGUGUGUGUGUGUGGGGGGGGCCUCUUCCUUCCACCUUUUCACUCCGAAAAUUGUCCUCACAAGGCAGAGGUCAUCUUCCCCAAAUUCAGAUGCUGUGAUACUAAAUAAAUGGCCAAGAAAAAGGAGCAGGCAACUUUCGGACAAGAGAACUAACUGCACGCUGAAGAGACCCUUGUCACUUAGCACCACAGCCAGCUGCAAUGGCUAUCAGUUCUGGCAGGACUUUGUCAUGGCACAAAGGUCCCAGAGACCCGAAGCCAUCCUCAGUGAUAAGGGCAGAUCUGGCCGCAUGUCGUGACCCCCCAAGGUAAGAAGCAAGGUGACGACAGCACAGAAUCAGAGGCACCAGGACUGAGGUCAGACAGGCCAUUCCAAAGAGGGAGCUCGCACUCAGGCACAGGAGCCGUUGGCCUGCCAUGGAUUCCUGUCUAUCCAGCCCCACCCCUGAAAGUGAGAACCUGAACUGCUCACAGGUGAACAUUCCCCUCGACUCCGCCCCUUCCUCCUGCCCGCCAGCAGCCCUGGCUGGGGACAAGAGAAACAAGGCUGCUGAGAUUCAUCCAGAGGACACCAUUACUGGCUGACAGAAGUUUAAGAACCCAGAGGCAAAAAAAAAAAAAAAUGUUUAUUCCUCUUGCCAUGUCAAGUAUAAAAUACCCAAACAGUGCCUUUGUUGUCAGGUGCCACCAGGAAAACAUUAACACAGCAGUCACACAUUUUUGAUAAGAGUAAACUGUUGUCAGAUUUAUCUGAUUUCUCUCUCUUCCUCUUUAAUAAACAUUAGAGAACUGACUUCUUACA
Molecule: long non-coding RNA, 1185 nt
Filed under: Marmota marmota marmota (Alpine marmot)
Lineage: Eukaryota; Metazoa; Chordata; Mammalia; Rodentia; Sciuridae
Description: lncRNA (ENSMMMG00000016623.1)
Source: RNAcentral